CGCUGGCGGCGUGCCUAAUACAUGCAAGUCGAACGGUCUUUCUAUGGAAGCUUGCUUCCACUGAGAAGAUAGUGGCGAACGGGUGAGUAACACGUGGGUAACCUGCCCAUAAGAGGGGGGAUAACAUCCGGAAACGGGUGCUAAUACCGCAUAGUUUUCUUGAUCGCAUGAUCGGGAAAGGAAAGACGGCCUUUGUGCUGUCGCUUAUGGAUGGACCCGCAGCGUAUUAGUUAGUUGGUGAGGUAACGGCUCACCAAGACGAUGAUACGUAGCCGACCUGAGAGGGUGAUCGGCCACAUUGGGACUGGGACACGGCCCAAACUCCUACGGGAGGCAGCAGUAGGGAAUCUUCCGCAAUGGACGAAAGUCUGACGGAGCAACGCCGCGUGAGUGAAGAAAGGUUUUCGGAUCGUAAAACUCUGUUGUCAGAGAAGAACAAGUUGGAGAGUAACUGCUCCAGCCUUGACGGUAUCUGACCAGAAAGCCACGGCUAACUACGUGCCAGCAGCCGC
RNAcentral lists this ribosomal RNA (512 nucleotides) under uncultured bacterium. Its description in RNAcentral is "bacterial SSU rRNA". It matches the Rfam family "Bacterial small subunit ribosomal RNA", at positions 34 to 518 of the family's 1533-position model. The record is from RNAcentral.